Molecule: ribosomal RNA, 484 nt
Filed under: uncultured bacterium
Lineage: Bacteria
Description: partial 16S ribosomal RNA
Rfam family: Bacterial small subunit ribosomal RNA
Source: RNAcentral
AUCGAACGCUGGCGGCAGGCCUAACACAUGCAAGUCGAGCGGAUGAAGGGAGCUUGCUCCUGGAUUCAGCGGCGGACGGGUGAGUAAUGCCUAGGAAUCUGCCCGGUAGUGGGGGAUAACGUCCGGAAACGGGCGCUAAUACCGCAUACGUCCUGAGGGAGAAAGUGGGGGUUCUUCGGACCUCACGCUAUCAGAUGAGCCUAGGUCGGAUUAGCUAGUUGGUUGGGUAAAGGCCUACCAAGGCGACGAUCCGUAACUGGUCUGAGAGGAUGAUCAGUCACACGGGAACUGGGACACGGUCAAGACUCCUACGGGAGGCAGCAGUGGGGAAUAUUGGACAAUGGGCGAAAGCCUGAUGCAGCCAUGCCGCGUGUGUGAAGAAGGUCUUCGGAUUGUAAAGCACGUUAAGUUGGGAGAAAGGGCAGUAAGUUAAUACCUUGCUGUUUUGACGUUACCAACAGAAUAAGCACCGGCUAACUUCGUG